GCCGGGCGUGGUGGUGCACGCCUGUAAUCCCAGCUACUCGGGAGGCUGAGGCAGGAGAAUCGCUUGAACCCGGUAGGCAGAGGUUGCAGUGAGCCGAGAUCACACCACUGCGCUGCAGCCUGGGUGACAGAGUGAGACUCUGUCUCAA
Pongo abelii (Sumatran orangutan) is the source of this 148-nucleotide unclassified non-coding RNA. It matches the Rfam family "Metazoan signal recognition particle RNA". From Rfam's summary of the family: The signal recognition particle (SRP) is a universally conserved ribonucleoprotein. It is involved in the co-translational targeting of proteins to membranes. NCBI's taxonomy places the organism in Eukaryota, Metazoa, Chordata, Mammalia, Primates, Hominidae. The record is from Ensembl.